UUUCUCGAACGCUGGCGGGAUGCUUUACACAUGCAAGUCGAACGGCAGUACUUGACUUCGGUCUGGUGGCGAGUGGCGAACGGGUGAGCAAUGCAUCGGAACGUGCCUAGUAGCGGGGAUAACUACGCGAAAGCGUAGCUAAUACCGCACAUACCGGGGGAAAGCGGGGACCUUUCGGGCCUCGCACUAUUAGAGCGGCCGAUAUCGGAUUAGCUAGUUGGUGGGGUAACGGCUCACCAAGGCGACGAUCCGCGGUAGCUGGUUUGAGAGGACGACCAGCCACACUGGGACUGAGACAUUUUACGAGACUCCUACGGGAGGCAGCAGUGGGGAAUUUUGGACAUUGGGGGAAACCUGAUCCGCGCCAUCCUGGGCGUGUGCGAUGAAGGCCUUCGGGUUUUCGUAAAGCACUUUUGGCAGGAAAGAAACGGCACGGGAUAAUACCCCGUGCAACUGACGGUACCUGCAGAAUAAGCACCGGCUAACUACGUGCCAGCAGCCGCGGUAAUACGGGUAAAAAGCGUUAAUCGGAAUUACUGGGCGUAAGCGUGCGCAGGCGGUUCAAGAAAGAUGUGAAAUCCUGAGCUUAACUUCUAACCGCAUUUUAACUACCGAGCUAGAGUGUGUGUCAGAGGAGGUGGAAUUCGGCGUGUAGCAGUGAAAUGCGUAGAUAUGCGAGGAACACCGAUGGCGAAGGCAGCCUCCGGGAUAACGACGCUCAUGCACGAAAGCGUGGAGCAACAGUAUUCAGAUACCCUGUAGUCCACGCCUCGGAACGAUGUCAAUCUAGCUGUUGGGGCCUUCGGGCCUUGAAGCAGCUAACGCGUGAAGUUGACCGCCUGGGGAGUAUGGUCGCAGAUUAAACUCAAAGGAAUUGACGGGGACCCGCACAAGCGGUGGAUGAUGUGGAUUACUCCGAUGCAACGCGAAAAACCUUACCUACCCUUGACAUGUCUGGAAUCCCGAAGAGAUUUGGGAGUGCUCGCAAGAGAACCGGAACACAGGUGCUGCAUGGUCGUCAGCUCGUGUCGCUGGGUUAAGUCCCGCAACGAGCGCAACCCUUGUCAUUAUUGCUACGAAAGGGCACUCUAAUGACUGCCGGUGACAAACCGGAGGAAGUGAUGACGUCGGUCCUCAUGGCCCUUACAGGCUUCACACGUCAUACAAUGGUCGGGACAGAGGGUCGCCAACCGCGAGGGGGAGCCAAUCCCAGAAACCCGAUCGUAGUCCGGAUCGCAGUCUGGGUGCAACUCGACUGGCAGGAAGUCGGAAUCGCUAGUAAUCGCGGAUCAGCAUGUCGCGGUGAAUACGUUCCCGGUCUUGUACACACCGCCCGUCACACCAUGGGAGUGGGUUUUACCAGAAGUAGUUAGCUCAAUCCGGUAAGGAGGGCGAUUACCAUUGCAGGAUUCAUGACUGGGUGAAGUCGUAACAAGGUAG
Molecule: ribosomal RNA, 1440 nt
Filed under: uncultured Bordetella sp.
Lineage: Bacteria; Pseudomonadati; Pseudomonadota; Betaproteobacteria; Burkholderiales; Alcaligenaceae
Description: partial 16S-23S ribosomal RNA intergenic spacer
Rfam family: Bacterial small subunit ribosomal RNA
Source: RNAcentral